AGAUAGUUUUAUUUGCAUUGUAAUUGUGAAAACUCAAUUUAUAGUUUUAUAUCGGAUAUUGUGGGAGAGUGUUAGGAACUUAUAUAUAAUGGAUACUGUGAGAUCCCAGAUAGUUCUAUAUAUAAGAUAUAAUAGAGCUACAACUUUUAACCGAGCUAUAGUAAAUUGGGCCGUGGUUAAGUCCAAAAGAUUUAAAAAGUUAAGUGUUUUAGAACUGGAGUAGUUCUAGAAUGGAUGAUCCUUCUGGAAAGUGAGACGAGUCUAACAUUGCCAGGUGGCUGUGAGUUUCUAAACGCGGCUAUAGCAUUUUGGACGGUGGCUAUACUUAAGAGAUUAAUUAAGAGAGUUAAUCAUGUUAGGGCUAGAGUAGUCCUAGGAUGGGUGACCCCCUUAGAAAGUUGGGACUUUACAGUUAAUAUCAGAGACAAUUACCAACUGAAAAUAUAAGAUGAGUCUCAGUUGAGUCAAAUUUAUACAGUGGGGAGAGUAAAACUCUUAUGCUGAUGACUGUUGUCAGUAGAGCGUGGCUUCACCAUAAGGUCGAUUAAGACUAGCGAGACGAGUUUCACAUCACCUGAUACUUAUAAGUCUGAACCUGACGAGUACGUCAGUACUUAAAGGGGGGAGAAUUAAUGUAAGACCCCAGAUAGUCUUAUAUAUAAGAUAUAACAAAAUUAAAACUCUUAACUCAGCUAUAGCAUGUUGGACGGUGGUUAGACGCAUGAAAAGAAGGUUAAGCGUACCAGAAGUUGAGUAGUUCUAGGAUGGAUGACCCCUCUGGGAUGUGGGGUGUGUCAGCUAAAGCUAAUGAGACGAGUCUUACAUUGCCAGAUGUUUGUGAAUGUUUAAAUCUAGUAAUAAUAUUUUGGGCGGUAGUUAGGCUCAAAAGGUUAAAAGAGUUAAACGUGUGGGGGCUGGAGUAGUUCUAAAAUGGGUGAUUCCCUGAAAAGCGGGGUGUCACAUAUAUAUGAUGGACACAUUAAUAAUACUAACUGGAUUUAAGCAUUUUGGAUCGAUGUUUCAGGCUUAACGAGUUAUUAGUUUUAGCAGGUUAGGUUCUGACGACUUUGAACUAUAAAUGCGAUUAGAUUGACGAGGUCCGUAGCACAGUAGUCUGAUGAUCUUGAACUAUAUAUGUGAUUGGAGUGAUGAGGUUUGUGGCACAUUGGAAUCAAUAAUUGAGCUUAAAAAUUUUGGACUAAUAGUUUGGACUCAACGAGUUAUUACGUUAGUGGACUGGAUCAUUACAGUAAUUGUAAAUGAAUAAAAUGAAUAGUGCU
This 1280-nucleotide long non-coding RNA is filed under the name Ananas comosus (pineapple). RNAcentral describes it as "long non-coding RNA (ACOM_LNC023726)". The record is from RNAcentral. Lineage: Eukaryota; Viridiplantae; Streptophyta; Magnoliopsida; Poales; Bromeliaceae.